Molecule: long non-coding RNA, 1085 nt
Organism: Elgaria multicarinata webbii
Lineage: Eukaryota; Metazoa; Chordata; Lepidosauria; Squamata; Anguidae
Exons: 3
Source: RefSeq, a predicted model, not a curated record
CUUUCUUUUCGCUUAGGUCGGAUCCGACGAGGUUCUCUCGCCUAGAGAAGGAAGGUGCGCAAAACAAACACCAAGGACUACGAGCAUCUCCUCAGUUGCCAGUAGUUUCUCUAAUGUCGCACUCAUCAUGCCGUUCCGAGUUCCUUAUGCCACAGGGAAGCUCUGCAAAAUUUAAGGCAUUUGUAAAGAGCAGCUUUGCCAGGAAAUGGUUUAGACAACAGAGUAGCUCUUGGUCAAGUUCAGGUGAGGCUGUGGAUGUGCUAAAUCAGUGCCUGGAUGCAAUAAUGGACUUGGAUGAGAGCUAAUAAACUGAAGCUCAAUACAAACAAGAUAAAUUCUCCUGUGUGCGCUUCUUCUGAUGAGAUGGAUGGUGAUCAACCAGUUCUGGAUGGGGUUGUACCCUCUCAAAGAAGCCAAUUUAUAGCUUGGGAGUUCUCCUGGAUCCAUCUUUGUCACUUGAGACUCACUGGCAUGGAGUGCUUUCUACCAACUUCAGCUGGUGGCCCAGCUAUGCCCCUAUCUGGCCAGGGAUAACCUGGCUUCAGUUAUCUAUGUUCUGGUAACAUCCAAGUUAGAUUACUGCAAUGCAGUGUAUGUGGGUUGCCCUUGAAGACUGUUCAGAAGUUCCAGCUUCUGCAAAAUGUGACAGACCAAUUAAUAACUGGGACCGUAAGAUCUGAGCUUAUAACACCAAUUUUGGCAUGCUUGCAUUGACUGCCUGUAUGUUUCCAAGCCUGAUUCAAAUUGCCAAUUUUAAUCUACAAAGCCUUAUACAACUCAGGACUGCAGUACCUGAUGGAGUGCCUCUAAAUGGACAUUACAAUCAACACCUGAAGCCUUCGUCCCAGAGUCACCUCCAAGGGAGGCUCAGAAGGUGGUAAUUCGGGAGAGAUUCUUCUCAGUGGUGGCCCCGCAAUUAUGGAACAGUUUCCCCACAGAGGCCCACCUGGUGCCAAUUUUGUAAUGUUUUUAGUGCCAGGUUAAGGCUGUUCUCUACUCCAAAGCAUUUAAUGGCAUAUGAUGGGGCAUUUAUGUCGGUUGUCUUGAACAUGUCUGGUAUCAUUGAAAUUGUUUUAGCUGUUUAA